AAUAUUUUUCAAUAUCUUAUUUUUAUUGAAGUUGUUUUUUUUUUGAUGAACAGAAGGAAAAUUAAAAAAAAAAAUAAUGCAUAUAACACAACGUUCAUCACAAUACAUUGCAUUAGUAUGAUACAGUGUUAAAUAAGUCAAUGGAUAAAUACAGUAUAAUAUAACAUUUCAUGUGCUAUACAUGUACAUUUUGGUGUAAAACAGUCUUGCAUGCUUGCAAUGCAGAUUGCCUGCUUGAGAAAGAAGGUCACAUAAUCACACCACAUAGAGGCUAAAUUUAAGAUGUUCCGGCAUGCUAACCAAGCCCCAAAUAGCUAACCAUUUAUGUUCUAACACAUAUUAUUCCACACUCAUUGCUUUGUAAAGGGUUAAUGAGAUUGUCUCUUGAUAAACACUGCAGUAUUUUGCCUGCUCCAUUAGUAGCAAUGACAGUGAUGAACAUAUAGUAACCGUAGCAUGAGAGAAAGGGAAAAGGAGAGGGAGAAGAGAAAGAAGGGACAAUAUGAGAAGGACAGUAAGAGAAGAUCAACCAGAGUCUAGGAGGGAGGCCAUGAGAUCCCCAUGCCUCACCAAAAUACCUAUUUGGUGAAUGCUUCCGUAAUCAUCACCACCUACAUUACCUCCAAACAUCAAAAGAUCAGUAUUGUUCCCCCCUUUUUUUCAAUAUAUUGUUAAUCCUAUAUUAUUUCUUGUUUGUGGUAUUUCCCUUUGAAAGAAUUAGGAAUUAUACAACGAUGUCCAGCUUUGCCAAUGUUUACUGUAAGCAGUUUCCCUGCCUCUUUAUAAGCCAUUUUUUCUAAAUGGUACAUAGAGUCCACCCUUGCAAGCACCUCAUCAACACUGGGGAGUGAACACUUUUCCAAUUUCUCGCUAUUGUAAUUUUUGCUGUGAGGAGUACCUGAAUAAUCACUGUUUAGUGAGGGUCUUCGUGUAGAGAAGUUACUAUAUGUAGAAGUUAACAUUCGGGCCGAAAGGGGAUAAGCCUAUCUGUCACUUUGUUUAAUAUAUUCUUUACUUGCUGGCCGUAAAAAAUAUGGGAGAAUGUUCCAGUGUUCUUCCCACACCUCCAGCACGUGGCCGAAGUUGUUGCAUAAAAGGUUGCAAGUUUUUGUGGUACUAUGUACCAUCCAGGGACGUAUUAGCUGCGAGGCAAACAAGGCAUUUGCCUUGGGUGACAUUUUCCAGGGGGCGGCAAAAAAAGCCGCCCCCAAAUGCCCAGGGCAAAUGGCUUGUUAGCCUUGUGGCUAACUGGCAAGCCGGGCGGUCGGUCAGGUGGGCGGCGCUGGUGAGGGAGCAC
Pelobates cultripes (western spadefoot toad) is the source of this 1297-nucleotide non-coding RNA. Lineage: Eukaryota; Metazoa; Chordata; Amphibia; Anura; Pelobatidae. The record is from the annotation of a GenBank genome assembly.